GGCACAGUGGCUGAGUGGUCUAAAGCGAUAGACUCGAAUUUUAAAUUCUUGAUAUCUAUUCUCUUCGGAGGCGUCCGUUCGAAUCGGGCCUGUGUCG
Molecule: non-coding RNA, 97 nt
Organism: Xylariomycetidae sp. FL2044
Lineage: Eukaryota; Fungi; Ascomycota; Sordariomycetes
Source: the annotation of a GenBank genome assembly